RNAcentral lists this ribosomal RNA (253 nucleotides) under uncultured bacterium. Its description in RNAcentral is "partial 16S ribosomal RNA". It matches the Rfam family "Bacterial small subunit ribosomal RNA", at positions 524 to 776 of the family's 1533-position model. The record is from RNAcentral.
AACGUAGGGGGCAAGCGUUGUCCGGAUUUACUGGGCGUAAAGCGCCCGUAGGCGGCCUGACAAGUUGGACGUGAAAGCUCCUGGCUUAACUGGGAGAGGCCGUUCAAAACUGUCAAGCUAGAGUCUGGAAGAGGAGAGCGGAAUUCCCGGUGUAGUGGUGGAAUGCGUAGAGAUCGGGAGGAACACCAGUGGCGAAAGCGGCUCUCUGGUCCAAAACUGACGCUGAGGGGCGAAAGCGUGGGGAGCGAACGGG